ACCAAGUGUCGUUAGCUAAAUUGG
Molecule: non-coding RNA, 24 nt
Filed under: Arabidopsis thaliana (thale cress)
Lineage: Eukaryota; Viridiplantae; Streptophyta; Magnoliopsida; Brassicales; Brassicaceae
Source: RNAcentral